UACUAGCGGUCCAAGUCGCAGCCAUUUUUAUUGGGUCUAAAACAUCCGUAGCUUGUUUGAUAAGUUCUCUGUGAAAUCCUACAUCUUAAAUGUGGGGCGUGCAGAGAAUACUGUCAAGCUAGAGACUGGAAGACGUAAGAAGUAUGAUCAAAGUAGUGGUAAAAUACUUUAAUCUUGGUCAGACUCACAAUAGCGAAGGCAUCUUACGAGGACAGUUCUGACAGUAAAGGAUGAAGGCUAGGGGCGCAAAACGGAUUAGAUACCCGCGUA
RNAcentral lists this ribosomal RNA (270 nucleotides) under uncultured prokaryote. Its description in RNAcentral is "partial 16S ribosomal RNA". It matches the Rfam family "Archaeal small subunit ribosomal RNA", at positions 474 to 743 of the family's 1478-position model. The record is from RNAcentral.